AGAGUUUGAUCCUGGCUCAGGAUGAACGCUAGCGGCAGGCCUAAUACAUGCAAGUCGAACGGUAACAGGUCCAGCAAUGGAUGCUGACGAGUGGCGCACGGGUGCGUAACGCGUAUGCAAUCUACCUUUAACUGGUGAAUAGCCCGAAGAAAUUCGGAUUAAUACACCAUAGUAUAGUUGAACAGCAUUGUUUGACUAUUAAAGUUCCAACGGUUAAAGAUGAGCAUGCGUGACAUUAGCUAGUUGGUGAGGUAAUGGCUCACCAAGGCAACGAUGUCUAGGGGAUCUGAGAGGAUUAACCCCCACACUGGUACUGAGACACGGACCAGACUCCUACGGGAGGCAGCAGUAAGGAAUAUUGGACAAUGGUCGCAAGACUGAUCCAGCCAUGCCGCGUGAAGGAUGACGGCCCUAUGGGUUGUAAACUUCUUUUGUAUGGGAAAAAACCUCUUUACGUGUAAAGAGCUGAUGGUACCAUAAGAAUAAGGAUCGGCUAACUCCGUGCCAGCAGCCGCGGUAAUACGGAGGAUCCAAGCGUUAUCCGGAUUCAUUGGGUUUAAAGGGUGCGUAGGCGGAAUGAUAAGUCAGUGGUGAAAUCUCAGAGCUUAACUCUGAAACUGCCAUUGAUACUGUCAAUCUUGAGUACAUUUGAUGUGGGCGGAAUGUGUCAUGUAGCGGUGAAAUGCUUAGAUAUGACACAGAACACCGAUUGCGAAGGCAGCUCACAAAACUGUAACUGACGCUGAGGCACGAAAGCGUGGGUAUCAAACAGGAUUAGAUACCCUGGUAGUCC
RNAcentral lists this ribosomal RNA (793 nucleotides) under uncultured bacterium. RNAcentral's name for it is "bacterial SSU rRNA". It matches the Rfam family "Bacterial small subunit ribosomal RNA", at positions 8 to 796 of the family's 1533-position model. The record is from RNAcentral.